CCCUUAGAUGUUCUGGGCGGCCCGCGCACUACAAUGGCGUGUGCAGCGAGUGCCGAAGUAGAGUUUUCCGAGGUAUUCUUGCAAUGCUCGUUUUGAUGGGGAUAGACCCUUGCAACUGUUGGUUUUGAACGAGGAAUUCCUUGUAAGCAUGGUUUAUCAUCCGACGCUGAAUGCGUCCCUGCCCUUUGUACACACCGCCCGUCGCUCCUACCGAUGAGUCGUCCGGUGAAGUUCGUAGACCUCGUGAUCGCGGAUCACUGGGGGAAGCAAAAUGAACCUCGCGGUUUAGAGGAAGGAGAAGUCGGAACA
Molecule: ribosomal RNA, 309 nt
Filed under: uncultured eukaryote
Lineage: Eukaryota
Description: partial 18S ribosomal RNA
Rfam family: Eukaryotic small subunit ribosomal RNA
Source: RNAcentral